Molecule: ribosomal RNA, 1276 nt
Filed under: uncultured bacterium
Lineage: Bacteria
Description: partial 16S ribosomal RNA
Rfam family: Bacterial small subunit ribosomal RNA
Source: RNAcentral
UGGACACAUUGCUAGCGACGGACGGGUGCGUAACACGUGGGUAACCGGCCCCUAUCACUGGGAUAACACACUGAAAAGUGUGCUAAUACCAGAUAACAUAAGCUUUUGGCAUCAUUAGCGUAGCAAACAAUUUCGGAUAGGGAUGGGCCCCCCUCUGAUUAGCUUGUUGGUGAGGUAACCGCUCACCAACGCAACGAUCAGUAGGAGACGUGAGAGGGUGAUCGGCCACACUGGAACUGAGACACGGUCCACACUCCUACGGGAGGCAGCAGUGGGCAAUAUUGCACAAUGGGCGAAAGCCUGAUGCAGCAACGCCGCGAGAGCGAUGAAAGCCUUCGGGUCAUAAAGCUCUGUCCUAUGGGAAGAUAAUGUCGGUACCAUAGGAGGAAGCCCCGGCUAACUACCGUGCCAGCAGCCGCGGUAAUACGUAGGGGGCAAGUGUUAUCCGGAAUUAGUGGGCGUAAAGGGUGUGUUGGCGGUUUAUCAAGUCAGGGGUGAAAGGUUACGCCUCAACCGUAGUGAGCAUCUGAAACUGGUGAACUUGAGUGUAGGGGAGGAAAGUGGAAUUCCCAGUGUAGCGGUGAAAUGCGUAGAUAUUGGGAGGAACACCAGUGGAGAAGGCCACUUUUGUGGACUUCAAUUGACGUUGAGGCACGAAAGCGUGGGGAGCAAACAGGAUUAGAUACCUUGGUACUCCACGCUGUAAACGAUGAAUACUAGGUGUCGGCUGUGAGAGAGUCGGUUCUGGCGUUAACACAUUAACUCAUCCGCAUGCGGAGUACGCUGGCAAGAGUGAAAGUUAAAGGAAUUGACGGGGACCCGCACAAGUAGCGGAGCAUGUGGUCUAAUUAGAAGCAACGCGAAGAACAUUACGUAGGCUCGACAUCCCUAAGCAAAGCCAAAAACCGGAGAUCGUGUGGGUGGCAAGACAAAGGUGACAGGUGGUGCAUGGUUGUGGUCAGCUCGUAUCCUCAGAUGUUGGGUUAAGUCCCGCAAAGAGCGCGACCCCUCUUUUUAGUUGCCAUCAGUUCGACUGGGCAGUCUAGAAAGACUGCUGAUGACUACUCGGAGGAAGGUGGGGAUGAGGUCAAAUCAUCAUGCCCCUUAUGCUUAGGGCUACACACGUGUUCCAAUGGCUGUGACAAAGGGCUGCGAUACCGCGAGGUGGAUCCAAUGCCAUAAAAACAGUGGAAGUUCGGAUGGUAGGUUGAAACUCGCGUACACGAAGCCGGAGUUAUUAGUAAUCGCAGAUCUGAAUACUGCGGGGAAUGGGUUC